RNAcentral lists this non-coding RNA (24 nucleotides) under Cricetulus griseus (Chinese hamster). Lineage: Eukaryota; Metazoa; Chordata; Mammalia; Rodentia; Cricetidae. The record is from RNAcentral.
UGCCUGUGAGAUUCUGGAUAAAGC